GCCGGGGCUUCUUCUGCGGGUACCGUCAUCAUCUUCCCCGCUGAAAGAGCUUUACAACCCUAAGGCCUUCUUCACUCACGCGGCAUGGCUGGAUCAGGGUUGCCCCCAUUGUCCAAUAUUCCCC
RNAcentral lists this ribosomal RNA (124 nucleotides) under uncultured bacterium. RNAcentral's name for it is "partial 16S ribosomal RNA". The record is from RNAcentral.